UACGAAGGGAGCUAGCGUUGUUCGGAAUUACUGGGCGUAAAGGGCGCGUAGGCGGUUUAGCAAGUUGGAUGUGAAAGCCCUGGGCUUAACCCGGGAAUUGCAUUCAAGACUGCUUUACUUGAAUUCGGUAGAGGUUGGUGGAAUUCCCAGUGUAGAGGUGAAAUUCGUAGAGAUUGGGAAGAACACCCGUGGCGAAGGCGGCCAACUGGACCGACAUUGACGCUGAGGCGCGAAAGCGUGGGUAG
This 245-nucleotide ribosomal RNA is filed under the name uncultured bacterium. Its description in RNAcentral is "partial 16S ribosomal RNA". It matches the Rfam family "Bacterial small subunit ribosomal RNA", at positions 524 to 768 of the family's 1533-position model. The record is from RNAcentral.